CAAGCUCAUAAAUACUCUAGCUAGACUCUCAUCUGUUUGAAAUACUUUCAUGACUUGCAUUAUGUCACGCUUCUCAAUGUUCAUGCUUUGUAAUUUUUCUAAAAACCCAAUUGCCAAGUGAUUUGGUUUAGCGUAUCAACGUUGCUUGAAUCUCCAUAGCAUUGGCAAUUUUUUUAGAUAAUUUAGCAAUGCUUGAUAGGGCAGUGAGACUCUCAUCAUUGGACUGGGUACGUCGUCGUCGUCGAAUUUUGUGGGUUCCUCCUUCGACCUUAUGCUUAGGAGCGCGAACUGGACUUGGAUCUAUAUCCUUGUUUUGACCAUCAACUUCAUUCAUAUUUUCAUCUAAGAAAAAAAAGACUUGUUAGGAUCUUUCAUAUAAUAUGAAUUAUGUAAUUUAUUAUUAUUAUUAUUAUUUUAUUUUAUU
This 424-nucleotide long non-coding RNA is filed under the name Olea europaea subsp. europaea. The record is from RNAcentral. Lineage: Eukaryota; Viridiplantae; Streptophyta; Magnoliopsida; Lamiales; Oleaceae.